GCUUUCAUUUGUGGCUAUUGCUGACAUGAGUGAGGUGUAGAGCCUUUCCAACCUUGGCCAGAGUUCCAGGGUCUCCGGUGGGUAGUAAGGAGCUAGCUUGGGCCCUCCACCCGUCACAACCUACAGGAGUUUUUUUUGACUGUCCAAGAUUCUUGGUUGGACCAGAAAUUGUGAGGGAAUGAUGGACGUUCCAAAUGACAGCAAGAGUAAACCAACAAGAAGCUGGACCACUACAGUCCAAGAAAAGCUCUUGGGUUUGUUGUUGUUUUUUUCUUCAUGUUGGCUCAAAUCUCUAGGACUUAGCUGGGUGCAGUGGUGCACACCCGUAAUCCUAGUGGCUCAGGAGGCUGAGGCAUGAGGACAGUGAGUUCAAAAGCAACCUCUGCAAAAGCAAGACGGUAAGCAAC
RNAcentral lists this long non-coding RNA (407 nucleotides) under Marmota monax (woodchuck). The record is from RNAcentral. Lineage: Eukaryota; Metazoa; Chordata; Mammalia; Rodentia; Sciuridae.